This is a long non-coding RNA of Triticum aestivum (bread wheat), 3048 nucleotides long. RefSeq lists it as uncharacterized. The transcript is spliced from 3 exons. NCBI's taxonomy places the organism in Eukaryota, Viridiplantae, Streptophyta, Magnoliopsida, Poales, Poaceae. The record is from RefSeq and is a predicted model, not a curated record.
GGAAACCGUUAAGAAAUAGUCUGCAUUGGCGGUGGACUGACUCCGGGCAAUACUCGCCGAGCUAGUGCUACCUUGCUCUCUUCAAGGGAUCAAUCCCAGACCCUUUGUGAAGCUAAGGACGUGGUGCUUCUGGUCUCGAGCACAUAAUAUCCGGGCCACAUACGCGAGCGUAAGUAAUGAAGCAAAUCAAGAAAUACGUCUGGGCGUAUGGGCCUGGAAGUAGACGGAGGAGACGGCAAACUAGUCGAGCCGUGGCCCAGGACGUCGGGCCUCUUCCUGAUCCGUGGAUCAGGAUAAUUGUUGUCGUCUCCUACCUCACGCUGCUGCGUUUUUUUAGUAGAGAGAGGGCCGAGCUUUGGGAGAGGCGAUUCGACAACUUAGCGAAGAUCUGCCGGUGGAAAUGGAGUUCCUGAUGCAGCCAAUUAAAAGAUUAACGGCGUUGGAGGAGGUUAAUGGUAGUGACGUCCCGAUGGACCACCUCCAUUAGAUUAGUGCGGGAAUGGAUCAGCCCCUCGCGGAGAGCUUCGAUGGGCGGCUUCGUGUGGCGGAUCGACCGGUGGCAUCUGAGAAGGGGGGGGAUUCGCCAGAAACUUCCGCAUAGUCCAUAGGCAAGAAGGAUCCUAGAGCUCCAGGAUGGACCCGCUGGUAUGAUCGGAGAGAAAAUAGCAAAUCGAUAAUUUUAUUGUGGAGUUAUGCAGAUACUAUUUCCAUAGACAUGUGAAUGCUUGUGAUUAGAAGAGUAGAUGGCAGGUGGGAUAUAAGUAGUGUCUGAACACCUUCGUAUGUAAUGUUCUGGUAUUGGAUUGUUGGUUCAGUAAUUUACAUAGUUACAGGCGCUGGAUAAAGAUAAAUCUUGUUUCUGUGUAAAUGUGUCAUAUGUAAAGAAAACAUGAAAUAUUCGAAUAAAAAUUAGGAGACAGUCAUUGGGUGAAGGGGACAAAGAUAUAUCUUGUUUCUGUGUAAAUGUGUCAUGUUAAUGACAUUUAGGAGACAGUAAAUGGAGAGGGGGAAGGAUACAUUUUGCUACUGCAUAAAUAGACCUCGGGGCAUGAUAUAAUUUUCAGGAAUGUGUCAUGUCACUGAAGAGCUGUUGUGUACCAACAAUGCUGUUAGCACAGUGUGAUCUCUAAGGGAGGAACAUUAGCUAGCAGGACCAAAACUCUGGAAGCAAGAAAGAUAAUGAGGGAAAUCAGACUCCUCUGGUGACUGGAACGAGAACGCUGGGUCAGCAAGUGGUGGAAUGCCGCAAGCUAAGCCGUGGAUCAGAAGAGGAAAAUCUAUUUGGUCCGUGGCUCGUGAAAUCUGCUUUUCCGUCGAAUGGCUGGAGGCACGAAUUGGAUGCAGAGCUAUGGCUCUUCUCCCCCAAGGCCCCAACGCGGGCGGCAUUUGGAAGCGGAGGAGUGAGAAAGAGGGAUAGGAAGCAGAGGCGCCGACAGCCAUGAAGUUCCUAAUGCAACUAAUCAAUCAGGAGGUAUGUCGAUUCGUAAGUAUAUUGUGAUCUUUUUCUGUUUUGCACGCGCGGAAGGGGGAACUCGCCGCAGGUGUCAUGGCUGUGUAUAGGUAAGGUCAACCCUCAAGCUCCAUGGUGGGCUAAGAGGUUAGUUCACAACAUACUAACAUAGAGAUGUAAAAAUUCGUAGGUGGUAAUUGGGAUAGAGUACAUUUGUAGAAAUUUGGUCCCUGUUCAUAUAAUUUGGAUAGAGUAUGGUAGUCGCAAGGAAGUAAUUUGGAUAGAGUAUGUUGUAAAUUUUGAUUAGCAGCUUAAUAGGGCAGUUUUGGAACUUUGCAUUUAAGAAAUGUUGCAUCCUUGGGAGAAGAAUUGGUACUUCCUCUGUAAAUUAAUAUAAGAUCUAAAAGAUUUUAUAUUUACAGUUGGAGUACAAAUGUACCACAAAUGCAGUUCUGCAGAUUUGGCAGAUGCUUUAAGUUUAAAAGAACAGAACUAGGUACUAGUCAAACAUUUUUUUUUUGGUUUAGCAGCUAAAUAGGCUGGUGAGUAGAAGUGUGGUCUCACAAGAUACUGGUUCCUUGAGGGGAAUAUUUGCAGAGGCAUUUUAAAAAAUUGGAUGCUUAGGACUACAUUUUUUGUAAACAUGAUUUGCAUAACCUGCAGUUUUUUUUUGUCUGUUUGAAGCGAACUCGUCGUUCAGUCUAUCACCUUAUCAUUUUUGUUAUGAAAUGAAUCAUUAGUAGCAUGCCUUUUCUCUUCUUCCCAUAUUGUUUUCUGUCACAUUAAGCAUGAUUUUUUAUGUUUAUUUGAAGCAGAGGGCCUGAUGCAAAACUGUAUCAUAUUUUUACUGAUUUUUGCUGCGACGAGCCCCUUUAUUUGCUUUGCUUACAAAGCUAAUAUUUAAAUCUUUUGAUAUUUUUAGCAUAUGUUUUGGUUGAAUUGAACGGCCCAUAAGUUACAUCAUCACAUGUUGUUCUAGCCUAUUUGAAGCUUUAGAUUUAUUUCAUAUAUGGAUCUUGGACUACAAACCGAAUCUGGAUUUGGUGACUUCAUAACCAUUGCAGCCCUGUUUCUGGUUUAUCUCUUUACGUUGGGUAUGGAUGUGUUCAUGCGUUUGUGGAUGAAGCGAAGCUUCUGUAGGCUAGUAGGCGAUGGUCUUUAUAGGGCCACCCAUUGUUUUUCUGCAAUUUGUUGUGUUCUUGCUCUUCCACCUAUUUACUGAUUUGUUUACUGAUGUUACAGAAAUCUAAACCUGAAAUUAUAUUCAUUCAUGGAGUCAGGAAACAAGAACUGGAUCCAUGUGUGAAAUGACAUGUUCAAUAAACCUUCGGAGCUUGGCACUAAUAUGUUCGGCGGCCGCCAUCAAACUCUUUUGCAAUCUCAGAGCCCGCCUCUAACAUGCAGAUGGUCCAUCAGCGUAAUUUGAUGAACUUGAAUAUGCUAGGCACUACUAGAAGUUUGGAAACCCUAAACUCAAAUUCUAGAAUUCUUGUACCUUUCCUGUGGUGCAGCCAAAGGCUGUUUAUCUUAAUUCCUGAGAUUUUGUUUCCCAAUACAACAGGAGAUGUCUUGACAUCACAAUCCUGUGUUUUUACUUA